AAUACAUAGCGUAAUGAAGCGAACCGGGGGAACUGAAACAUCUAAGUACCCCGAGGAAAAGAAAUCAACCGAGAUUCCCCCAGUAGCGGCGAGCGAACGGGGAGCAGCCCAGAGUCUGAAUCAGCUUGUGUGUUAGUGGAACGGUCUGGAAAGUCCGACGGUACAGGGUGAUAGUCCCGUACACCAAAAUGCACAGGUUGUGAACUCGAAGAGUAGGGCGGGACACGUGGUAUCCUGUCUGAAUAUGGGGGGACCAUCCUCCAAGGCUAAAUACUCCUGACUGACCGAUAGUGAACCAGUACCGUGAGGGAAAGGCGAAAAGAACCCCGGCGAGGGGAGUGAAAAAGAACCUGAAACCGUGUACGUACAAGCAGUGGGAGCCUCUUUAUGGGGUGACUGCGUACCUUUUGUAUAAUGGGUCAGCGACUUAUAUUCUGUAGCAAGGUUAACCGUAUAGGGGAGCCGAAGGGAAACCGAGUCUUAACUGGGCGUUAAGUUGCAGGGUAUAGACCCGAAACCCGGUGAUCUAGCCAUGGGCAGGUUGAAGGUUGGGUAACACUAACUGGAGGACCGAACCGACUAAUGUUGAAAAAUUAGCGGAUGACUUGUGGCUGGGGGUGAAAGGCCAAUCAAACCGGGAGAUAGCUGGUUCUCCCCGAAAGCUAUUUAGGUAGCGCCUCGUGAAUUCAUCUUCGGGGGUAGAGCACUGUUUCGGCUAGGGGGUCAUCCCGACUUACCAACCCGAUGCAAACUGCGAAUACCGAAGAAUGUUAUCACGGGAGACACACGGCGGGUGCUAACGUCCGUCGUGAAGAGGGAAACAACCCAGACCGCCAGCUAAGGUCCCAAAGUCAUGGUUAAGUGGGAAACGAUGUGGGAAGGCACAGACAGCCAGGAUGUUGGCUUAGAAGCAGCCAUCAUUUAAAGAAAGCGUAAUAGCUCACUGGUCGAGUCGGCCUGCGCGGAAGAUGUAACGGGGCUAAACCAUGCACCGAAGCUGCGGCAGCGACACUAUGUGUUGUUGGGUAGGGGAGCGUUCUGUAAGCCGUUGAAGGUGUGCUGUGAGGCAUGCUGGAGGUAUCAGAAGUGCGAAUGCUGACAUAAGUAACGAUAAUGCGGGUGAAAAACCCGCACGCCGGAAGACCAAGGGUUCCUGUCCAACGUUAAUCGGGGCAGGGUGAGUCGACCCCUAAGGCGAGGCCGAAAGGCGUAGUCGAUGGGAAACAGGUUAAUAUUCCUGUACUUGGUGUUACUGCGAAGGGGGGACGGAGAAGGCUAUGUUAGCCGGGCGACGGUUGUCCCGGUUUAAGCAUGUAGGCGGAGGUUC
This 1327-nucleotide ribosomal RNA is filed under the name Citrobacter freundii. Its description in RNAcentral is "partial 23S ribosomal RNA". It matches the Rfam family "Bacterial large subunit ribosomal RNA", at positions 161 to 1533 of the family's 2925-position model. The record is from RNAcentral. Lineage: Bacteria; Pseudomonadati; Pseudomonadota; Gammaproteobacteria; Enterobacterales; Enterobacteriaceae.